RNAcentral lists this ribosomal RNA (419 nucleotides) under uncultured Bacteroidota bacterium. RNAcentral's name for it is "bacterial SSU rRNA". It matches the Rfam family "Bacterial small subunit ribosomal RNA", at positions 608 to 1029 of the family's 1533-position model. Lineage: Bacteria; Pseudomonadati; Bacteroidota. The record is from RNAcentral.
CUUAACCGCGGAAGUGCCUUUGAAACUGUUGCUCUUGAGUCCCGGAGAGGUUGCCGGAAUUCGUGGUGUAGCGGUGAAAUGCGUAGAUAUCACGAGGAACACCAGAGGCGAAAGCGGGCAACUGGACGGGUACUGACACUGAGGCACGAAAGCGUGGGGAGCAAACAGGAUUAGAUACCCUGGUAGUCCGCGCCGUAAACGAUGGAUGCUCGCCGUUGCCUCGUCAAGGGGCAGUGGCUAAGCUAACGCGUUAAGCAUCCCGCCUGGGGAGUACGAUCGCAAGGUUGAAACUCAAAGGAAUUGACGGGGGCCCGCACAAGCGGUGGAGCAUGUGGCUUAAUUCGAUGCAACGCGAAGAACCUUACCUAGGCUCGAACGCUAGGCGACCGCCCCUGAAAGGGAGCUUUCCGCAAGGACGC